UUAGAUCUUCAAUAAUGGAAGUAUCUGAUAUUUCCAGAUUUUUAACAUUCACGUGUUUAUUAACCUAUGAACCAGGGCCUAAAAAAUAAAAUCACUAGAGGAUUGGAGCUCAAAUAUGCAAGGAGAAGUUUCUUUCCAUGUUGGAGAUCAGUGUUGGAACCCCAGUCUUCCGCGAAGAUGUCCUUCAUAAAACCAAAGCUAACUGUUGAGCAGAUCAAUCAUGAUAGAUGUUUGAAUAAAUAAACCAGCAUAGGAUCUACUUUUGGUGGAAUGAUGGGCAGAGUUCAGCAACCAAUAGCUAAUCAUCAACAUAGAAGGCUCUUUGGUACAUCGGCAUUAACAUUCUUGAAAGUGAUAAAGAAUGCAUGAGCACAAAGGAAUCGUAGUCCAAAAGUGCAGAUUGGCUGUGAUGUAAAGCUAUACGUGGUGAAUCAGGUGUGCAAAACCGUGUAUCACAUACCAGCAAAGCAUCACUGAUUAUGUCUAGUGCAUAUAAUCAAUGGACAAUGAAAACACUUUUCAUCACAGUCCUACAGAAGUACUCAGUAUUUCUUGCUCUGUUUUAGCUAAGGUUCCUCUGGAGCUAACAGGUAUACUUACCAAAGGGGUGGGCACAUAGCUAAUUACAUGAUAGCUAGGCGAUGGGGUGCACAAAUUUUUUUCCCUUUCAAAGAUGUUGUGGUGUUACAGCCGAGGUAGCUAUCAGCCUAACGACGCUCUGUUUUAUUGGUUUGAGCAUCAUAUCUCAAACUCUUUUAGUAGCUGAAAGAAAAGACAAUGUAAUUAACAAAACUGCCAUGGAGUAUGAUGCAUUAUCUAUUUAUUAAAUUUAAUGGAGGAUUUA
Molecule: non-coding RNA, 844 nt
Organism: Lolium perenne
Lineage: Eukaryota; Viridiplantae; Streptophyta; Magnoliopsida; Poales; Poaceae
Source: RefSeq, a predicted model, not a curated record